AUAAAUCUUCAAGGACUGAGGAGGAAGGAGCUAACCUUUAAUGAAAUAAUGAUCAUGAAGAGGUAUAGGAGUCCCAGUGUUGUGAGUUAUUUAGACAGCUACCUUCUGGGCAAGGAACUCUUGCUGCUUAUGGAGUACAUGGAUGGAGGCAUCCUGAGCGAUGUCAUCAGCCAGACCUGCCUGUCUGAAGAUGAGAUGGCAGCCAUCAGUUGGGAGUGCCUGCAAGGACUGGAUUUUCUUCAUUCAAACGAUGUGAUCCGUCGAGAGUGAAGAGCAGCAACAUCCUUCUCAGAACUGACGGUUCUGUCAAGCUGGCUGAUUUUGGCCUCUCUACUCAGCUCAACUCUGAGCAGAGCAGAUGGUGCUCACUAACCGGGACUCCUUGGUGGAUGGCGCCUGAAGUGGUGACAGCAUCUGCUCUAGUUUUGGUUGCAUCAGCUCAACACCUGAUAGCCACAGUGGGGACCCCAAAGCUGCAGCAGCCCAAGCUCCUCUCAGCUUUGCUGCGUGACUUCCUGAGCUGCUGCCUGCAGAGAGAUGAAGAGCGGCGCUGGUCUGCUAAGGAGCUCCUGCAGGUAAAAUGUGAAGGGGCUGCAGGUGAAACAGGGUCUGAA
Molecule: long non-coding RNA, 614 nt
Organism: Melozone crissalis (California towhee)
Lineage: Eukaryota; Metazoa; Chordata; Aves; Passeriformes; Passerellidae
Exons: 6
Source: RefSeq, a predicted model, not a curated record